This 784-nucleotide long non-coding RNA is filed under the name Brassica rapa (field mustard). RNAcentral's name for it is "long non-coding RNA (BRAP_LNC000821)". Lineage: Eukaryota; Viridiplantae; Streptophyta; Magnoliopsida; Brassicales; Brassicaceae. The record is from RNAcentral.
AUACGAGUUCGAUGCUCAAGGGUUCAUCUCAGCAGUGAAUAUUUUUAUAGAACAUAUACAACAUUUAUUCACCAUACAUCACAUAUAUAAACUCUUUGUUUUGUUCCUUGGGAUACAAGGAAAAAUGAAACAAAGGAAGAAGAAACAACAAGACCUAGCCCAAAACAUUGAAGACUGAAGUUCUUUUUUUUUUUUUGUCACGAAUGAAGACUGAAGUUCAAAUUUUUAAAACAUCAAAUUUACUGCUAAUAUGGCUUCACUGACUUCUUCUAGGCCUUAUUAAAUUGAGGCCAAGCCCACUGUCUCCGUCACAUUCCCGGAUAAGCCAUAUAUACCAAGAAUCAAAUCUCAAGCGAAUCGAUUUUAAAUCUAGAAGAAGGGAUAAAUGAUGAAGAUGACCAGCAUGGUUCUGUUGUCCACUUACGGUGUGGGGACUGGUCGGCAUAUUCUUUUACGACCACGUGCCUCCCCAGGGACUCUCAACGUGAUAUACACGCCGAAAGUGGAAAACAGAGCUCUCUGAGUAUUGAGGAGAAUCUUAACAGUGCUAAUAUUUAAAUAACGACCAUGUGGUCACUCAUAUAUUUUUCUCUAUUCUUUUUAAUCGAUCAUAAAAUGCUUAAUUUGAUUUUACCACUCUUUUUUAACUGUUAAUUGGUUCUUCCUUUUGUUGAGGCUUCAACUUCAAGCAACACCGCACCAUAAUGGAUCCAAACUAGGAGUCAAAGUGAAUAUGUCCCUUCAAAAUACAUUAUUGCAUUGAUUUGCCGAUAAGAGAUAAAUG